This 486-nucleotide ribosomal RNA is filed under the name uncultured Microbacteriaceae bacterium. Its description in RNAcentral is "partial 16S ribosomal RNA". The record is from RNAcentral. Lineage: Bacteria; Bacillati; Actinomycetota; Actinomycetes; Micrococcales; Microbacteriaceae.
UACGUAGUUAGCCGGUGCUUUUUCUGCAGGUACCGUCACUUUCGCUUCUUCCCUGCUAAAAGAGGUUUACGACCCGAAGGCCUUCGUCCCUCACGCGGCGUUGCUGCAUCAGGCUUGCGCCCAUUGUGCAAUAUUCCCCACUGCUGCCUCCCGUAGGAGUCUGGGCCGUGUCUCAGUCCCAGUGUGGCCGGUCACCCUCUCAGGCCGGCUACCCGUCGUCGGCUUGGUGAGCCGUUACCUCACCAACUACCUGAUAGGCCGCGAGUCCAUCCUUGACCGAAAUUCUUUCCAGCAACUCACCAUGCGGUGGAAGCUCGUAUCCGGUAUUAGACGCCGUUUCCAGCGCUUAUCCCAGAGUCAAGGGCAGGUUACUCACGUGUUACUCACCCGUUCGCCACUAAUCCACCCAGCAAGCUGGGCUUCAUCGUUCGACUUGCAUGUGUUAAGCACGCCGCCAGCGUUCAUCCUGAGCCAGGAUCAAACUCU